UAAGGAAUAUUGGUCAAUGGACGCAAGUCUGAACCAGCCAUGCCGCGUGAAGGAUGAGGGUCCUCUGGAUUGUAAACUUCUUUUAUCUGGGACGAAAACGGGAUUUUUAUCUCAAUUGACGGUACCAGAGGAAUAAGCACCGGCUAACUCCGUGCCAGCAGCCACGGUAAUACGGAGGGUGCGAGCGUUAUCCGGAUUUACUGGGUUCAAAGGGUGCGUAGGUGGGCUUAUAAGUCAGUGGUGAAAUCUCCGAGCUUAACUUGGAAACUGCCGUUGAUACUAUAGGUCUUGAAUUAUCUGGAGGUAAGCGGAAUAUGGCAUGUAGCGGUGAAAUGCUUAGAUAUGACAUAGAACACCAAUUGCGAAGGCAGCUUACUACAUAUAAAUUGACGCUGAGGCACGAAAGCGUGGGGAUCAAACA
Molecule: ribosomal RNA, 421 nt
Filed under: uncultured bacterium
Lineage: Bacteria
Description: bacterial SSU rRNA
Rfam family: Bacterial small subunit ribosomal RNA
Source: RNAcentral